AGAGGGAAGCCAGCACUAAGCGUGAAACCGGAGCAGCAUCCAAACGAACGCCUGGCUUUGUGCUCCUUCCGCUCAGGAGCAUCAUGACACUUCACCGGAGAAGCCACUGGCCACAAAGCUGGACCUAUUUUCAUCUGCCCAGCACACAAAAAGAAACCUCAGAGGCUCACUGCAGAGAGGGGCAUCUUGGGGGCCAGAACGUCUCCAUGACAACCAUUACAAUAAAAAACGCCAGUAAGUUUUUUGGAAAUGCUACCAUCACAAAUGUAAACAUGAGGAAGUUGGCUUGACGCUAACAGAAACUUAACUGGCACUAUAAUCAGAUUAGGGUAGGUGUCCCGAUCAGCGCGAUAUCAAAGUUGGACCGAUUUCCAGUAUCGAUAUCAGAGCGAUUUCUGAUACUGACAUGUAGACCCAUUGGUUCAUGAUAAAUGGCUCAGUUGUUCUCAGACCUACUGCUGCUGACUAUUGUUCUCUGUUUGAUUAAAAUUGCUCAAUCAAGUCUUUUCUAACAUCAUACACCACUAAAUUAGUCAUAAAAGUGUGUAUGAUUUGUGCUGAUAUCACGCCGGGUCAAUAUCAAUAUUGGCCAAUGCUCAUAUCUGCGAUAUUAGUAUCGUAUCAGGAGGGAAAAGUUGUAUCGGGACAUCCAGAUACAAAAAAAAGGC
This is a long non-coding RNA of Poecilia latipinna (sailfin molly), 668 nucleotides long. RefSeq lists it as uncharacterized. Lineage: Eukaryota; Metazoa; Chordata; Actinopteri; Cyprinodontiformes; Poeciliidae. The transcript has 2 exons. The record is from RefSeq and is a predicted model, not a curated record.